GUGCAGCAGCCGCGGUAAUACCGGCAGCCCGAGUGAUGGCCGAUCUUAUUGGGCCUAAAGCGUCCGUAGCUGGGUCUGAAAGUCCAUCGGGAAAUCCACUCGCUCAACGAGUGGCCGUCCGGUGGAAACUCCACACCUUGGGACCGGAAGGCUCGAAGGGUACGGCCGGGGUAGGAGUGAAAUCCUGUAAUCCCGUCCGGACCACCGAUGGCGAAAGCACUUCGAGAAAACGGAUCCGACAGUGAGGGACGAAAGCUAAGAUCGCGAACCGGAUUAGAAACCCCUGUAGUCC
Molecule: ribosomal RNA, 292 nt
Filed under: uncultured bacterium
Lineage: Bacteria
Description: partial 16S ribosomal RNA
Rfam family: Archaeal small subunit ribosomal RNA
Source: RNAcentral